UAUAUAGAGAGAAGAUUUUUUAUAUAUAACCUGUAAACAUAGAAGUAUAUGUUACAUUGAAAAAACAAGGUCAAAGAAUAUUAAGGUAAGUCAGUCUUAAUGUAUUCACAUGUCAUAUAAUAUAUAUAGUCAUUUUCUACUUUUUUUGGGGGGGGGUAUAUAUAAAAAUCCCUCUGUGUGUCAAUGAUUGUCUUUUAACCAGAAUUCCUCAAAUAUGCACUGACACUGAAUCAGCUUAACACAGUUGCAGUACACAACCAGAGAAAGUACACACAUAAACAUUAUCAUGGUAUAAAAUAUUUCAAGGGAGAUAAUUGAACUUACUUAUUUUAACAUUGAAAUAUGUGGCAACAGGUCUUGUAAACACAAAUCCUCAUAAAUGGCUUGAUUGAUAAUGAUUUAAUUUUACACAGUGGCAAUACCGAACAUGAAAAUU
Molecule: long non-coding RNA, 436 nt
Filed under: Mytilus galloprovincialis (Mediterranean mussel)
Lineage: Eukaryota; Metazoa; Mollusca; Bivalvia; Mytilida; Mytilidae
Source: RNAcentral